Molecule: long non-coding RNA, 1433 nt
Organism: Planococcus citri (citrus mealybug)
Lineage: Eukaryota; Metazoa; Arthropoda; Insecta; Hemiptera; Pseudococcidae
Exons: 3
Source: RefSeq, a predicted model, not a curated record
UUUACUUAGCUAUCGAUUAAUGAUGAGAAAAUAUUUUCGUUUCAAAUCAACUACGUGAUUAUUGAAUGAGCAAAUAAAGAAGUUUGGUCUCAAAGGCGACUAUUCUCAGUACACCAUUUGACAGAAAAAAAUAAUAACAAAACAAACAACCAUGGAUAUCUAUGAUUCACAUUUUGUGGGGUCCAAAUGGAGGCAAGUGACAGUCUGAUGGAGUGAUUUUAAUUUCAUCGACAAUCGACAUCCUGAUAAUUUUUCACCUAUUUGGAUUGGACUUCAGUUUGUUGUACCUAAGAUCGUUGAACUGAUAGGAUUGAGCAUUCAGAUGGCGUAGAUUGAAAUUCUUUCUUCACGUUGAAACUACAGAAACUAAUACGAGUACCUAUAUUAAAGCACGUGAUCAUAUUCAACUACAGCAACGAAUCAACGUGAACAGGAGUACCAUACACUUGCCCCCCCCCCCCAAAUAACAAAAUGAAGCUGACCAGGAGCAACUACACAGCUACACCAACAUCAACAACAACAGCCGAAUUGCUACAGCACCUGACGGCGUCCACGAAGAUGCGAUACGAUUACAUAUUAUCCACUCGCGAUAGCUCCACAAUGCGUUUAUUUUUCACCGCCCUGUACUUAUCGAGUAACUUUAUUUCGGCGAUUUGCUUCGUAUUACUAUUACGCUUCUACUUCUCAAAAAAAUACCACCGAGUGCACGAGAAAAAUCUCAACUCGACUUGUUUGAGUUUACUGGCGAUAAACGUGUUGAAAUUGGUGAAUUUGUUUUGGAAAAACGCCUACGUAAACGAGGCUCUAGUACAUCUGAACACUAUGACAACUUUUCUACUAUUGACCACCGCAGUCGAUUUGUAUUUAACGCUGAAAAGCAUCAUAAAAGACGUAUUCGUCGAGGAGGCUGCAAAUCGCAAACGAUUCGCUUUCUAUUCGUUGUGCGGCUGGGUCCUUCCGGCCGGCAUAUUGCGCCUUAUUUCUUACUGCGAGUAUUUUCAAUAUGAUUUCGAGUCAACCUUGAUCAGUUUGCACGCUUGUCUCAAUUUCAUUACCGUGCUUUUAGUUCGAUCCGGUUUACGAACGACGUGCUAUACGAAUUUCGGCGAAAAUUUCGAAGGGUAUAAGUAUUACUCGGACGAGAAAUGUACGUCGAACGUCGUUCGUAUCCUUUCGUCGAUCAGACUCGUAUUUUACGCGUUAUUCCUCAUCAGUCACAAACACGUCGCGUUGUCUAUUUUAGAUUUCUUUCGCGCGUAUGAAGGAAUGUUCAUUUAUUAUUACUUGGUGGUGGAAAGACGUAAGAAAUGGUCUUACACGGUUAAUCCGCGACAUCAGUCGAUUUGGUCUUCUAACACCGUUUAAUACUGCCAAAAUUUUUGUAUAUAAUUUUCACUGGUUGUACAUUGAUGAAUAAAUUUCUUCGCAACUGG